Zea mays is the source of this 840-nucleotide long non-coding RNA. RefSeq lists it as uncharacterized. NCBI's taxonomy places the organism in Eukaryota, Viridiplantae, Streptophyta, Magnoliopsida, Poales, Poaceae. The transcript is spliced from 2 exons. The record is from RefSeq and is a predicted model, not a curated record.
ACGAAAAUCGCCGCCUCCUCGUCAGUCGUCUCUAAAGUCGAAAGUCGAAACCAGGCGAGGCUCUGUCUGUGCUGUUGCUGUCCGCCCCCAGGCCACCGACGCGCCAUCUCUUCGACGACCUCUCGUCUCCGACAGCUCCUCGUGGCAGAGAUUCCACGGGCCACCACCGCCUCGCUUCACCUCCACCGCGCCCUUCCACGCUGUUCCUCUCUGUCGCCGUCACCUCGGAUAGCGGCAACAGCACCUCCACGUCCGCUGCUGGCGAUUCGUGCGCUUGGACGCUGCUACCGCUACCCCUUGUUUGGCCGCGAGCAACAUCGAUUGAUCGAUGCUGACAGCGACAUCGCCGACAUGCCGGCAUGGCUCCAUUUCUGCUAGCGAAAGCUUUCUUCAUGCAUGCCCCCCUAGCUAAAAUUUCUUCCCCUCUUAUCUUCUCACACAGCCUUUUGCGGGUCUGUUUUUGUUUUUAAUGAAGCAACGGUACUGCUUCUGCUGUAAAUGGAGGGAGUUGAGAUGGGGAAGCCGUACUAGCGAGUUGUUCAGGACGUCAUAGCAGGGGAAAGCAGAGAUCGAGUAAGCGCGUAGGUAGAAAACGCAUGCUGUGCGUGAAAAUUCACGUCAAUGAUCUGUUGUGUCCCAUCACCUACUGAAGAUUUUGUGGACAUUGAAAUGUAGUGAAUUCAUGGGUAAGGAAUUUGUUAGAAAAUUAGGUAUUAUUAGUUUUAAUUUAAUUCAGAAGAACAGUGUAAUAUAUGUGAUGAUAUGUAUGUGCAUAUAUGUACCACUAUUCGUAUAAGCAGUAAAGAAAAAUGAAACAUGCACAAGUACGGAAAACAAGAA